This is a long non-coding RNA of Hevea brasiliensis (rubber tree), 470 nucleotides long. RefSeq lists it as uncharacterized. The transcript is spliced from 2 exons. The record is from RefSeq and is a predicted model, not a curated record. NCBI's taxonomy places the organism in Eukaryota, Viridiplantae, Streptophyta, Magnoliopsida, Malpighiales, Euphorbiaceae.
CCAAGGGACUAGGGUUAAGCUCCUAUAUAAACCCUCAAAAUACAUUUAGUUCACCUCCUUCAUCCCUCCUCAGUCGCUAAUCAGAAAGUGCAGAGAGAUUUUCUAGCUGAUAUGGUUCCUGGCUGCACAAUACUGGUGGAUUUGAUAUCUGGAGAAAGAUAGGCUCGAAAUGACGAUGAUUGUUUCUACAUGUCUGCUCAAAAGUCUCUAAGCCAUAAAUCCUCGGUUUUUUAUUUUUCCUUUUAAAUUUCAAUGGGAGUGAACUAUCAUUACAUAUAAGAAAUUGGACCUAAAUUAUUAAAAUUAAAAAUAUAAAAUUAAAGUAUAAUUAAGACUUAGCCUUUCUUCUUCUCCUUGAUUUCUCUGCGAUUAUCUUGUAUCUAGUUUAGGGAUUUUUAUCACUCUCUUGGGCGUAGGGAUUUUUAUCCCUCUCUUGGACGAUUAAUAAAGGUUAUUUAUUAUUUUUUUAA